Felis catus (domestic cat) is the source of this 3533-nucleotide long non-coding RNA. RefSeq lists it as uncharacterized. The record is from RefSeq and is a predicted model, not a curated record. The transcript has 3 exons. Lineage: Eukaryota; Metazoa; Chordata; Mammalia; Carnivora; Felidae.
GGUGCUCCAAUGUCCACAGGGCAGAGGGGAUCCUGCUCCCCACAGUCUGUGCUCUGCACUUGCUGUCUCUGGCCUGGGCAGCAGAUCCAGCCACACAGGAACUGGAGGAGAGGUCACGGGUAGCAGUGAAUCCUUACCUUGGUUGUCGUAGGAAGUGAUGACCUGGGUCUGCUGAGGGUGCUGUUUCUCCGCCAGGUUUCCUGUAGACGCAAGACAGAGGGACCUGCAGUGGCCACAGGGACCGUGGAGGAGUUUGCCCCAGGCAAAGCAAGGAGCAAGGAGCUGUGUGCGUCCGCCAGAAAGAGAUUGAAAGGAAAACAAAAUGAAAAGAGAGAAUUUACCAUGCACGUCAUUUCCUUCAAAUUUCUGCCAUCUCCGGAUUCCAUUUCCGACACCUUGGAGUCCUGUGGGAUAACAAGGUCUGGAGUGAGGUUCUCAGUGGCCGGGAGACCCAGGCCAGCGAGUGACAGGCCUGUCUCCAGCACAAGGAUGCUUUCCUGCUGCAAGUUGUGGAAAAUCCCCUCCAGUUCAGCAGAGGAGUUCACCGUCCUGCCAACUAGGAAGUCCAGAGGUGGGGCUGAGUGGUGCGGCACAGUGAGGCCCGGGCAAGGAGCCCUGUCCUCCACCCACAGGAUGAAGGAAUGUUCUUUCACAUCCCUCACAUCCCUCCCUGGACCCAUGACAGUUGCCAAAGGGAUGCCAGGUGCUGAUUGGAUUCUUGAACACAACACUGGUAAGAGAUGUGCUUAUCUAACCGGGACCUUCCCGGGAGCCGGGGCUGGGCUAGGGGCCUCGGCGUCAUGUGGCUUGAGUGGAGGGGGAAAGGGCCGGGUCUGGGUAGACAUUUCAUGUCUGAUUGGGCGGUACAUGUUUAAUAUGUUCUAAUGUAAAUGUAUUUUCACCCAAAGACAUGGCAUUGCUUACAUAUUAUGUUUUAAACACACCCUUAUGGGUUUAAACUUCUAAACGUCGUGUAUAAGAUUGUUGUCAUGAAGAAAAUACAUAACCUCAUGACAAACGUCUUCUUGAUAAAUACAUUUAUCCCAGCUUAAGCUAUGUUGAAAUGAAGCAAUAAUCAGAAUAAUUAAGACUUUGGGGGAUUGUGGUCACUUGGACCCUUUGUAGAGCUUUGGGUACACUUUGACCCAUGGCAUCUGAGUGAGCACAUACACAGACACACACAGAGGGCUUCUCUCCGAAGACGGUCACCAUACCCUUUGAAUGACGAUUCUCAUCUGCUUUUAUCCUUUGCCCUUGGUCCCAGGGGCAUGGACAUGUGGUCUGCGGCUUUCUGUGCCUUGGGAAGAGUCAGUGUUUGGAACAAGAUAACUUGGGAUUUCUUCUCUGUGUACUCAUCUUUAGUGCUUUCUGAAGAACGUUCUGGAUUUUGGGGCAGGAAGAUUUGGGAACGUUCUAGAUUUGGGGCAGGAAGAAGAUUUGGACAAGAAGAAGCCAUCCAUGCCCCCACCCCCCGUCUUAGCUGGUGCUUUCUAUCUCUUUCUGGCUGGAAUCCUGAAUCCAGUGAUUUUCUUCUCUCUCUUCUGUUCACUAGCAGAGUUAGCGGGACUUGGGGAAACAACCCAGACGUGCCAGAGAGUACCUCGUGGGUAAGAGCAUGAGCUUGUCAGACCGCUUCAGGUUCUGCCUGAAUGGGCUUCAGUGUCCUUGCACUUAGAGUGGGGAGACUGCUGCCGUGUCUUGAGGGUUUACUCUGUGCCAGGCUCUGGGUUACCAAUAUUUUCUACAUUACUUCAGCUCAUUCUCAAAAGCCAUAUGAGGUAGGUAUGAUCAGCUGUAUCUUACACAUGAGGAAACUGAGGCUCCGCAAGGCUAAUUUGACUUGCUCAAGGUCAAACAGUCGGCCUGUGACAGAGCUGAGGCGCAAGCCUCCUCUUUGUGACCCUGGGGACUCUGCUUCUAUCAGUCACUCUCCGCGUAGGGCUGUAGAGAGGAAGAAAUGGGAGACAGCGUGGAAAGAACCCGGGGCAGUGCCGGCAACCACGGGCUGCUCAACAAAUGGUGCUGGUUGCUGCCGCCGUUGUUGUUAUGAGAAGCAAAGGUCCUGGAUAAUCCCCAAACUGACAGCCGGCCCUGCAGAAUCUUGAGCUGGCCAUAGUCUCCCUGAAAAGUUGUUUAUUGGCCUUGUGGUUGUCUGAAGAAAGAGCUGUCUGUCCUCUCUCAAUUGCUUGGGCCCUCAGAAGGUAGGCUCGAGUUACUGAGCACAUACACCUGCUGUUCUGGGCCGGGAGGGGUUGGGGAGCUCAGGCGACCGAGCGCACAUCUGACCUGGGGUGGGGUCAGCAGUGUCCUUGGCACACUGAGGUGCUGGCUGGCCAAGGGCCUUCCAGCAGGGGCUGCUGCGGGUUCUCAUAGCCAGAGGCCUGGCAGGGGCAGUGGGGGCUGCUCUGGAUCCCCCAGUCUUCCUUCCUGUCAUCCUGGUACCCCACUGUUCACCCCAGACAUAGCAAGUCUCUUCCUGGAGACAGCUCCCCAUCAGCAGCCCUAAGGGCAGCUCCCGACCCAGGGAAAGGUCAGAAAAAUGCAAGUUAACAGCAGCUACAAAAUCAGCAAAUGCUGGCGAGUGCUGCUUUCUGUCUCACAGCACACCUGCUGAGCAGGGCAUUAUCAUGAGCAUCAUUGUAGGGGUGGGGGAACAGGCUAAUGAGAUGGGGUAACUUGACCGACUACGCACGGCAGGCACAGUAUGGCUUGCAGUAGACACAUCUAACAUGGAAGUUCAUUUUCUUAAUUGCGAUGCCCAAACAUCUCCCCCAAAGCAAAAGAUUAAGGCAGGGUCAUUUUAUUUUACUUCCCUUCAGUAAACUUUGACCUACCAAGAAAGCUGGGGAAAGCAUCAUCCAUGUGCUGGGAUGCUGCCCUCAUCCCCAAGCCUCACAACAGUUCUGCGAACUAUAGCUCAGAGAGGUUGGAUGACUCACCCCAGGACACACAGCUCUCUAUGCUUUCAUAGAACCAACUGUGGUCCCCCAGGAAAAAUGCACCAUGCAGAAGUUCUCAGAGUGUACCAGGACUCACAUUUUCUGACACCCACCAAGUGUGCCUCCAUCUUCAUUCAAUUUCUCAAAGGCUACAGGCUCUUCUCGCCACUUUAUGUGCUCCUCCAGGAGAAACUCUGACGUAACUCAGCUGAGCCUGCAGCAGGUCCAGAGAGGGGAGUUGCAGACUGGACACAGGAGCUGUUUGUCACCCCAUGUGCCCAGAAGGCUGAGAGAUGGCUUCUUCCUCCUUGUUGCUGCAGGGGUUUCCCCAGUGAUCGUCUCCAUUAAGAAUAAAUCUUGACCCCAUGCUGCCUGCUGGGCUCAGGCAAACCUUUGGCAUUUUGGCUGCAACUGGGGUCAGGAACGCGAGGCUGUAGGAAGUAUACAGUUUAAAUGGGUGCUGUUGCAAGUGACAGAACCCCACUCAACUCAACUUUUCAAAAAAAAAUUUUUUUUUAACGUUUUUAUUUUAUUUUUGAGACAGAGAGAGACAGAGCAUGAACGGGGGAGGAGCAGAGAGAGAGGGAGACACAG